Long non-coding RNA from Gallus gallus (chicken), 625 nucleotides. The record is from Ensembl. Lineage: Eukaryota; Metazoa; Chordata; Aves; Galliformes; Phasianidae.
ACAUCUGCUUCUGGCUCCUGUUCCUCUCUGCUCCUCUCACUUUCCCGUAAAUUGGAAAAUACCCUAAUGUGAUUCCCUGUUGUGAUGGCAGUAUUCAAAGUAUAUGGGGAAGGACAACCAAGUUGAACUCAGAUUGCUUACCAGCUGGAAAAGAAAGAAGUCAUUACAACCUGUUACAACCUGUUACAUUUGAAGGGAACUUCUGGAAAUUCUUAGAGGGCAGUGAGGCUCUGGCAUAGGCUGCCCGGAGAAGCUGUGGUUGCCCUAUCCCUGAAGGUGCUGAAGGCCAGGUUGGAUGGGGCCCUGGGCACUUUAUUUGUUCCAGGUACCUGUCUGGAAGAGAAGAACUACAUUCACCAAGAGCCUUUUCAAGUACUGUUAUCAUUCCUGCUCAAGGGAACAGAUAUAAGGGCGCAGGUCAUCUGACUCUUCCCUCUUCUCAUCUCGCCGUGUUCCCUGCCGGAUCGGCUCACUACUGCUGCUCCCAACUGCACACAAGGCUUCAGUAUUGGUGUAAGGCCUUCAGCUCUGGGACAAUCUUUCUCUCAAUUAUUGUUGAUUUAUAUUGUAUUAUAGUGUGUUAUCUUACAUUCCGAUACUAUAUUUAGUAAAUUAGUUUGUUUCU